Molecule: microRNA precursor, 66 nt
Filed under: Drosophila simulans
Lineage: Eukaryota; Metazoa; Arthropoda; Insecta; Diptera; Drosophilidae
Description: Dsi-Mir-2001_pre stem-loop
Rfam family: mir-274 microRNA precursor family
Source: RNAcentral
UUUGUGACCGACACUAACGGGUAAUUGUUUGGUCACCAGGAUUACUCGUUUUUGCGAUCACAAAUC